Sus scrofa (pig) is the source of this 772-nucleotide long non-coding RNA. RefSeq lists it as uncharacterized. The record is from RefSeq and is a predicted model, not a curated record. NCBI's taxonomy places the organism in Eukaryota, Metazoa, Chordata, Mammalia, Artiodactyla, Suidae.
GGGGGUGUGAGACAACGGGGAGGCUACUGCAGAAGCCCAGGAACGGUGGAGGCUUGGACCCAAGUGGGAGUGAGGAAGAUGGCAAGGAGCGGUUGAAUUAUGGAAAUAAAUGUGAGGGGAGUGGCUCUGAUGACAAGACGAAGGCACAAGAACUGGGAAAAACACACAACAACAAAUGAGAUACAAAGAAAAUAUUUUUCUGUGCACAUCAAGUUGUGUCGUGAACAUAUUUAAGCCUGCCACCCUAUGCUUCAAGAAAAGAAAAUCAACCUUUGCUGUUUCGUGCACACUGAUAGUAUGUUCUCCUCCUCCUCCUCCUCCAUAUCAGUGACAACAGAAAGCAGGAACGCUCACUGUGGUGGGCUGAAACGUGUCCCCACAAAUUCAUAUGCUGAAGCCCUAGCUCUCAUUUCCUCUGCGUGACUGUAUCUGGAGAGAGGGCCUCUAAAGAGGUGAUUAAGUUCAUAGGAGGUGGCGGGGUGGGCCCUCAUCCCAUCUGACUGGUGUCCUUAUAAGAUAAAAUUUGGCCACACCAAGAAACGCCAGGGAUGCACACACAGCAGAAAGACCGUGUGAGGACACAUCAAGGAGGCGGCCGUCUGCAAGUCAAGGAGAGAACACUCCGUAGAAACCAAACCAGCCAACCCUUGGUCAUCGACUUCCAGCCUCCAGAAUUGUGAAAAAUUCUGUGUUUAAGCCAUUCUGUCUGUGGUCUUUUGUUACAGCAGCCUUGGCAAGCUCAUAAACUCUCCUUUCUUUGUUUUUGCCUGGA